This 500-nucleotide ribosomal RNA is filed under the name uncultured bacterium. RNAcentral describes it as "partial 16S ribosomal RNA". It matches the Rfam family "Bacterial small subunit ribosomal RNA", at positions 28 to 523 of the family's 1533-position model. The record is from RNAcentral.
GACGAACGCUGGCGGCGUGCCUAAUACAUGCAAGUCGAGCGGACCACUUCGGUGGUCAGCGGCGGACGGGUGAGUAACACGUGGGCAACCUGCCUGUAAGACUGGGAUAACUCCGGGAAACCGGGGCUAAUACCGGAUAAUCCUUCGGACCUCAUGGUCCUAAGCUGAAAGACGGUUUUUGCCUUCACUUACAGAUUGGCCCGCGGCGCAUUAGCUAGUUGGUGAGGUAACGGCUCACCAAGGCGACGAUGCGUAGCCGACCUGAGAGGGUGAUCGGCCACACUGGGACUGAGACACGGCCCAGACUCCUACGGGAGGCAGCAGUAGGGAAUCUUCCGCAAUGGACGAAAGUCUGACGGAGCAACGCCGCGUGAGCGAAGAAGGUUUUCGGAUCGUAAAGCUCUGUUGUCAGGGAAGAACAAGUGCGAGAGUAACUGCUCGCACCUUGACGGUACCUGACCAGAAAGCCACGGCUAACUACGUGCCAGCAGCCGCGGUAA